RNAcentral lists this ribosomal RNA (656 nucleotides) under uncultured bacterium. RNAcentral's name for it is "bacterial SSU rRNA". It matches the Rfam family "Bacterial small subunit ribosomal RNA", at positions 167 to 810 of the family's 1533-position model. The record is from RNAcentral.
UACCGCAUAACCAUAGUUACCGCAUGGUAGCUAUGUAAAAGGUGGCUAUGCUACCGCUUUUGGAUGGGCCCGCGGCGCAUUAGCUAGUUGGUGGGGUAAAGGCUUACCAAGGCAAUGAUGCGUAGCCGAACUGAGAGGUUGAUCGGCCACAUUGGGACUGAGACACGGCCCAAACUCCUACGGGAGGCAGCAGUAGGGAAUCUUCCACAAUGGGCGAAAGCCUGAUGGAGCAACGCCGCGUGGGUGAAGAAGGUCUUCGGAUCGUAAAACCCUGUUGUUAGAGAAGAAAGUGCGUGAGAGUAACUGUUCACGUUUCGACGGUAUCUAACCAGAAAGCCACGGCUAACUACGUGCCAGCAGCCGCGGUAAUACGUAGGUGGCAAGCGUUAUCCGGAUUUAUUGGGCGUAAAGGGAACGCAGGCGGUCUUUUAAGUCUGAUGUGAAAGCCUUCGGCUUAACCGGAGUAGUGCAUUGGAAACUGGGAGACUUGAGUGCAGAAGAGGAGAGUGGAACUCCAUGUGUAGCGGUGAAAUGCGUAGAUAUAUGGAAGAACACCAGUGGCGAAAGCGGCUCUCUGGUCUGUAACUGACGCUGAGGUUCGAAAGCGUGGGUAGCAAACAGGAUUAGAUACCCUGGUAGUCCACGCCGUAAACGAU